UGGGGCACAGAAAAAAUAGAUAGGGGCAGCUCUAAAGACCAGCUGUUAAGACAGACAACUGCAAACUCAUUUAAGCAAGAGAAAAACAGCUCUAAUUCGAGAUUGUGAAGCAACACUUCUAAAUUCAAAGACAUAGAGUUGUCAAAUCAGGAUUUUUUAAAAAAAUGAUAUCCUUUCGAAUGUAACUGAUUUUGGGAAAAUCACAUGUUCAGAAUUGAGGCUAAAUGGUUUGAUCAGGUUUUCUCUUUGAAGAGACCACAGCCUUAGGAAAUGGUUCUUGAUCUAUACAAUUCCACCUUGGACACUGGGUUAAUUCUGUUUGCCCCUGGAACACAAUCACUGCCUGGCUCAAAAGCUACUGCAAGCUCGUUACUGCUCAUCCUCCAGAGGCCCACAUCAAGUCAGCCACGACUCAAGGAGACUCCAAAGAUAAAAGCUGAAGCCAAAAUAUAUGAUUCUAAACACCCUCCUCAGCUACUGCAAAGCACUGUGAGCACUUUCUCAGGACGAGAGCCAAGAGCCCAGCACCUGUGGGUCACCACAGUUUCUGAGGUCCCAGAUGAAAAAGAUGCGCUCGCUACCACCGUGCGGCGGUCCUUUCUCUCGCAAUAGUCUGAAUGCUCCCGGGCCCUGCCUCCGGACGCCAGGACAGAGGCCGCCGACUCGAAGCGUGAGCAGUUCCGGAGGUACUUGGAGAAGUCGGGGGUGCUGGACACGCUGACCAAGGUGUUGGUAGCCUUAUAUGAAGAACCAGAGAAACCUAACAGUGCUUUGGAUUUUUUAAAGCAUCACUUAGGAGCUGCUACUCCAGAAAAUCCAGAAAUAGAGCUGCUUCGCCUAGAACUGGCCGAAAUGAAAGAGAAGUAUGAAGCUAUUGUAGAAGAAAAUAAAAAACUGAAAGCAAAGCUUGCUCAGUAUGAACCACCUCAGGAGGAGAAGCGUGCUGAAUAGGAUUCUUCUCAGUUUGAAAGACAAUGAAAAAUGGUGGUGUUUCAUAAGAUGUCACCCAACGAGACCCUCUUUUUGGAAAGUACCAACAAGAUUUAUAAGGACGACAUUUCCAAUAGCUCCUUUGUGAAUUUCCAGAUAUGGGAUUUUCCUGGGCAAAUGGACUUUUUUGACCCAACCUUUGACUAUGAGAUGAUCUUCAGGGGAACAGGAGCAUUGAUCUACGUCAUUGACGCACAGGAUGACUACAUGGAGGCUUUAACAAGACUUCACAUUACUGUUUCUAAAGCCUACAAAGUUAACCCAGACAUGAAUUUUGAGGUUUUUAUUCACAAAGUUGAUGGUCUGUCUGAUGAUCACAAAAUAGAAACACAGAGGGACAUUCAUCAAAGGGCCAAUGAUGACCUUGCAGAUGCUGGGCUAGAAAAACUCCAUCUUAGCUUUUAUCUGACUAGUAUCUAUGACCAUUCAAUAUUUGAAGCCUUUAGUAAGGUGGUGCAGAAACUCAUUCCACAGCUGCCGACCUUGGAAAACCUAUUAAAUAUCUUUAUAUCAAAUUCAGGUAUUGAAAAAGCUUUUCUCUUUGAUGUUGUCAGCAAAAUCUACAUUGCAACAGACAGUUCCCCUGUGGAUAUGCAAUCUUAUGAACUUUGCUGUGACAUGAUCGAUGUUGUAAUUGAUGUGUCUUGUAUAUAUGGGUUAAAGGAAGAUGGAAGUGGAAGUGCUUAUGACAAAGAAUCUAUGGCAAUUAUCAAGCUGAAUAAUACAACUGUCCUUUAUUUAAAGGAGGUGACUAAAUUUUUGGCACUGGUCUGCAUUCUAAGGGAAGAAAGCUUUGAACGAAAAGGUUUAAUAGACUACAACUUCCACUGUUUCCGAAAAGCUAUUCAUGAGGUUUUUGAGGUGGGUGUGACUUCUCACAGGAGCUGUGGUCACCAGACUAGUGCCUCCAGUCUGAAAGCGCUGACACACAAUGGCACGCCACGAAACGCCAUCUAGUCUGAAUCCCAGCGUCGGGGCUCUGUGCCAGCUUACUCUUCACUCCAGGGUCGGAUGCCACGUGCUACAGGACAUGGGAGCUGCCGCUUGUGGGAAUCUGGUGCCUGUUCCACUAGAGACAAGGGGUAGAGUUUCUCAUUUGGAUGAAAACCCCUUCAACUGGUGGUGUACAACUGAAGCUACUAUUUCUUUUUUGAAAAUGGCAAAAAAAAAAAAAAAAAAAAAAA
This 2174-nucleotide small RNA is filed under the name Pan troglodytes (chimpanzee). RNAcentral describes it as "processed transcript". Lineage: Eukaryota; Metazoa; Chordata; Mammalia; Primates; Hominidae. The record is from RNAcentral.